AUGAACCCUCCAGGAGGUGUCUGGUCUGAUGACAAGGAUGCCACGGGAACUCCAGGCAAUCCAAUCCUUCAGGAUACCCAUCCAAAACGCUAUGAUGUGUUCUACUACUCAAAUUCAGUUUCAUUUGUGUCGUCUGUGGUCGUCACAAUAUUACUUGUGAAUAAGGAAUCCUGUGAGUAUGGAAUCAAGUCCUAUGCACUGCGAGUGUGUUUGGUGGCGGGCUUGCUUGGCCUCCUCAUUGCCUAUGUUGCUGGAAGUUGCAGAAAUAUUAAACAGUCCAUAUAUCUGAGCAUCAUUGCUAUGGCAGUUCUAGUGUCACUUCUGAUUCAAGUUCUGCUCUCUUCAAUGCAUGGCACACUAGGAAGACCAUUGGCUAAGUGUCUAGUGUUUCUACACGAUCUUCUCUUUCAUGCGGAGGGUGAACGAGUAAUAACUCACAUGAGGCCAGUAGCUUCAGUUGUCGAAGAAAAAAAAGUGAGAAAGAGACACAAGUAUCUGAUGCUUCUUGCAAUUUUAGCAGCAUCGAUCGCAUACCAAGCUGGUCUGAACCUACCUGGUGGAUUCUGGUCUGAUGAUGAGGGCCAUGUACCAGGCAAUCCCGUCCUUCGUGAUAUUAAUCACCGACGGUACAAGAUCUUCUUCUGGUUCAAUUCUUUCGCUUUCAUGGCAUCCAUUGUCGUGAUCAUGCUUCUGCUGAGUAAAUCUAUCAGGAAGGCUGUGCCACUUGGGGUAUUGCACUUGAUCAUGAUACUGGAUAUGUUGGCUCUCAUGACAGCUUUUGCUGUGGGAAGCUGCCGCAAAUUGAGGACUUCAGUGUAUGUCUAUGCACUAGUUGGCGGCGUUGUAGUAAUCCUGCUGCUCCUAAUUAUUGUGACAAGUGCAAUUGCAAAAUAUCGGAAGCCAAGAGAGGGAAAUGGGAUUAACUCCCCGAGACAUCCUGAACCUGUUUCAGGAGCAAACACACCAGCACGACCUGAAGUUUGA
This 984-nucleotide ribosomal RNA is filed under the name Triticum aestivum (bread wheat). RNAcentral describes it as "partial small subunit ribosomal RNA". Lineage: Eukaryota; Viridiplantae; Streptophyta; Magnoliopsida; Poales; Poaceae. The record is from RNAcentral.